UGGACAACAAAACCUGCAUCAAAAUAGAUUGCUUUUUCUCUUAAGAAGUGGAAUUUAACUUUUCAAAGAAACAGGCUAUGAUGAAGAUCCAAAGACUCCAAAAAGGAAGAGGAUCAUGAUUUAGAAAACUCUGUUAACAUGGUAUUUUCGGAAGAGAGGAGACAAUAAAUUUUCAAUAUAUGCCAUGAGCAUAUUAGAGGGAAGAUCCAAGCUAUUAUGAUAAUCCAAUGCUAAUCGUUGGGACUACAAUUCCAACACACAGAAUGUCAGCCUCCUAAGAUUAUACACUUCUGUCAUGCUUUCUGACUUCUAUGGAACAAUAUAAAAAAAUAAUGGCCUGACAGAAGAUUUGGUCUGAUCAUAUCAAAGGUAACUUUCUGUACACAUCUAUAUGAACAACAACAAAAAAUAAUGAGCUCACAUUUAUUUGAACACAUCUUAA
This 442-nucleotide unclassified non-coding RNA is filed under the name Hevea brasiliensis (rubber tree). Lineage: Eukaryota; Viridiplantae; Streptophyta; Magnoliopsida; Malpighiales; Euphorbiaceae. The record is from RNAcentral.